CCUACGGGAGGCAGCAGUGGGGGAUAUUGCACAAUGGGGGAAACCCUGAUGCAGCGACGCCGCGUGUGGGAAGACGGUCCUCUGGAUUGUAAACCACUGUCCCCAGGGACGAAGAUGACGGUACCUGGGGAGGAAGCUCCGGCUAACUACGUGCCAGCAGCCGCGGUAAUACGUAGGGAGCGAGCGUUGUCCGGAAUUACUGGGUGUAAAGGGAGCGUAGGCGGGGAUGCAAGUUGGGUGUCAAAACUACCGGCUCAACUGGUAGUCGCACUCAAAACUGCAGCUCUUGAGUGAAGUAGAGGCAGGCGGAAUUCCUAGUGUAGCGGUGAAAUGCGUAGAUAUUAGGAGGAACACCAGUGGCGAAGGCAGCUUACUAAACUGCCACUGACAUUGAUGCUCGAAAGUGUGGGUAUCAAACAGGAUUAGAUACCCCGGUAGUC
This 440-nucleotide ribosomal RNA is filed under the name uncultured bacterium. Its description in RNAcentral is "partial 16S ribosomal RNA". It matches the Rfam family "Bacterial small subunit ribosomal RNA", at positions 338 to 795 of the family's 1533-position model. The record is from RNAcentral.